RNAcentral lists this long non-coding RNA (2763 nucleotides) under Canis lupus familiaris (dog). RNAcentral describes it as "lncRNA (ENSCAFG00845027761.1)". Lineage: Eukaryota; Metazoa; Chordata; Mammalia; Carnivora; Canidae. The record is from RNAcentral.
AUGUUCUCUUCUUCCAGAAGCUUUCUUUCUCCCCAGCAAGUACUUCUUCCUAGAAUACAUGCAGUACAGAGAUCAGCUGAGAGGUGGAACCCGAGAUGGAGCCAUCCCUUUGACCACAGCCUGAUUCACCGAGUCACCAAGCCACUCCAGGGUAACCUGAGUGGGUCCAGCCUGUGGGUGUCUGAAAGGUAGGGGAUUCACAAUGGGACACUUAGGUCCUCAUGUGUAAGAGCGUGUGAGUAUAAGAUGUGCAUUGAAUUAACUAGCAAACACCAAACUCUAAGAUGAGAGGUUGAAAGGCUAAUAUAAAUUAGGAGCACUCCCACUAGCUAACAGGUAAUUAACUUAAAGGCUUUGAGUUAUUUGGGGGGAGCAGAGGAGAUACAGGAAGUGAAGAGUACCCAGUACUCACUCUGCCCUGCAAGCUUAUGGACCAGGUCAGAAAGAAAUUCUCCCAAGAGGGGAGGGAGGCUUACAGCUUCUACCUGAACCUCUCAGGGUCUCCAUUUUCUUCAUCUUUCUCCAUCUCUUCCAUACAUCCAAACGACAAUGUCUUUUCCUUGAGAUAUAACUGACAAAUAAUAUUGUGUAAGUGUAAGGUGUAUAAAGUGAUGAUUUGACACAUGUAUAUAUUGCAAAAUGAUUACUGCAAAAAGGCUUAGUUAACAACAUACAUCACCUUACAUAGUACUUUUUAUUUUUCCUCUUUCAGACAAAAAAAAAAAAAGUUAAUAUCAUCCAUGCAUAUUGAGAAUACAAAUGAAUUCCAGAGGAUGGGGGUUAUUUACAGCCCACAUGCAAGCUCUGGCCUCAUUUUAUACCUUUAAGCAUCUCUAUCUUCUAGAAAGGCUCUCAGUUUUGCUUUCAGGAUGCCACAUGCUUUGAUCUAACUCCUUCUCCCUGGCUAUGUCUUCUCUUUUGGGAAUCCUUUUCUAUGCCUGUGUCUACAUAUUGAUGUUCCUUUCUUGGGUCCCACUUCCCUUUCACUCCACAUAUUUCUCUCUGCUAACCACAUUUAUUGUCACAGCUUCAGUUACCAUGGGUAGGCUGAGGGUUGGCUAAUCCACAGCUUUAGUCUAGACUCCCAUGUCUGCCCUAGAGCCCCAUAUUUUCCUGCUCAUUGGACAUCUAUCUCUUCUUGGAUGUCUUCUGGAUACCUUAACAUCAGUCCUAACUCACAGCCCUACCCCACAUCCUAACUCUUUACCUACAUUCCCCAUCUCUGCAAAUGGCACCAUCACCCUCUAGUUGCCCAACACCUUGACCUCUACUCCUCACUUUACAAACCAGUGAACUACAAAGUCAAGAGUCAAAUCCUGACCUCAUGAUUCAGGUCAAUAUGAUUCCCUCUGGGAUAUCCUAUGUAAUGGGACUCCCCACCUAGAAUUUUGCUCUCCUCCUCUCCACACAGACAGAGGGAGAAGCAGGCUCCAUGCAGAGAGCCUGACGUGGGACUCAUCCAGGGUCUCCAGGAUCACGCCCUGGGCUGCAGGCGGCGCUAAACCACUGCACCACCGGGGCUGCCCUCCAAUCUCUUUCUUAUCAUAGGACUCACAGAAAAUGACAACUUUUGUACAACACACUGGGAUAACCAUUUGAGAAUUCUGAAAGAAGCCACUAGGUUUUGUCUGUUAUCCCAGAGGCUAAGGGGUUCAUAAUCUGGGCUCUCUUCAAAGCCAUUCACACCACCCUGGGAGCCUCUGGACUAAUUCCUUCACCCUGCUGCAGUAGAGGGGCUUUCCAAUGCACAGACCUUACCAGGUCACUGUUCUCCUUAGACUCCUUCUGUGGCUUCCUGCCAGCUUGCAUGGCUCUACAAGCUCCUCCCUCACCAGCCUCCUUCCUCCUUCUUGCUUUCUCCUCACAUUCCCUUCCUCAUGUCCCAGUCACACCAAAAUGACUUGCAGUUGUUUUGGAGAGAGCUUUUGCUUCUAGAUUUCCCUGCCCUUCCCACAGCAGCCUGUACUCCCCUAAGGCUGGCACUCACUACUGUCCAACAUGGAAAUUCACAGAGGGCAGAACUCUGACAAGAACCAUGUCUGGCAUUGAGUGAGAACCCAAACAUUUCUUGAAGAGUGAGCAAAGGAAUGAGUCAGCUUUUGUGAUAAAGCACCAAACCAGGGGGUAGAAACUUGGGUCCCUGGUGUGCCUCCAGCCCACUGACCCACUCCAGAUACUCCUGUCUGGGCCUCAGUCUUCUUGCCCAUCAAGUGAGAGGACUGGUCUCUGAAAUCCUCUUCAGGGUAAAGGCCUGUGUUCCCUGGGGCACUUUGGAUCCCAGCAAUUCUACAAAACGUUGUAACUCUUGAUCUUUGCAAACAACUGGGGUUAAAUUUGUAACAAUUGCUAUAAAUUUCCUCACCAGCAGAAAUUGAAAAGUAACUAAAUGUAAACCAGUAUAUUUUUAAUAAUACUUUUUUUUUUUUUUUAAGUAGGCUCCAUGCCUAGCACAGAGCCCAGCAGGGGGCUUGCACUCAUGACCCUGAGAUCAAGACCCAAGCUGAGGGAUUCCCUGGGUGGCGCAGCAGUUUAGCGCCUGCCUUUGGCCCAGGGCGUGAUUCUGGAGACCCAGGAUUGAAUCCCACGUCAGGCUCCCGAUGCAUGGAGCCUGCUUCUCCCUCUGCCUAUGUCUCUGCCUCUCUCACUGUGUGCCUAUCAUAAAAAAAAAAAAAAAAAAAAAAAAAAAAGACCCAAGCUGAGAUCAAGAGUCAGAUGUUCAACUCAUGAGCCAUCCAGGUGCCCCAAUUUUUAAUGAUACUUUUU